This 440-nucleotide ribosomal RNA is filed under the name uncultured bacterium. RNAcentral describes it as "bacterial SSU rRNA". It matches the Rfam family "Bacterial small subunit ribosomal RNA", at positions 30 to 470 of the family's 1533-position model. The record is from RNAcentral.
AUUGAACGCUGGCGGCAGGCCUAACACAUGCAAGUCGAGCGGUAGAGAGGUGCUUGCAUCUCUUGAGAGCGGCGGACGGGUGAGUAAUGCCUAGGAAUCUGCCUAGUGGUGGGGGAUAACGUUCGGAAACGGACGCUAAUACCGCAUACGUCCUACGGGAGAAAGCGGGGGGAUCUUCGGACCUCGCGCCAUUAGAUGAGCCUAGGUCGGAUUAGCUAGUUGGUGAGGUAAUGGCUCACCAAGGCGACGAUCCGUAACUGGUCUGAGAGGAUGAUCAGUCACACUGGAACUGAGACACGGUCCAGACUCCUACGGGAGGCAGCAGUGGGGAAUAUUGGACAAUGGGCGAAAGCCUGAUCCAGCCAUGCCGCGUGUGUGAAGAAGGUCUUCGGAUUGUAAAGCACUUUAAGUUGGGAGGAAGGGUAGUAACCUAAUACGUU